Acanthaster planci (crown-of-thorns starfish) is the source of this 339-nucleotide long non-coding RNA. RefSeq lists it as uncharacterized. The record is from RefSeq and is a predicted model, not a curated record. NCBI's taxonomy places the organism in Eukaryota, Metazoa, Echinodermata, Asteroidea, Valvatida, Acanthasteridae.
CACCCCGAUCCCUGCGAGUCUACAAACUGAAGACAGGUUUGAAUUACGGAGGUAUCUUGCGCAGUGACAAGAAGGGGAAAUGAUAGAAAUCUUCCUCACAACAUGUUCCUAGCCAGGACAGCAAAUUAGGCUACAUGCUGACAGAUUUCACAGGACUGGAAAAGAUAGAGAACCCUGUCAUGAUUCCUUUCUGUAGGCCUCAAAGUUCCUUGGAUGUCUGAGUGCAAAAAGUGUGUCACUGGUGACUUUAACUCAGAUCCCUCCGUCCAGCAAGUGUGAGCCUUUCCCUUGAACUUGACUUUGAUGGCUGUGGAUGUUAAAGGAGCUGGACAUUAAAAA